Molecule: ribosomal RNA, 622 nt
Filed under: Ceratobasidium sp. CBS 476.82
Lineage: Eukaryota; Fungi; Basidiomycota; Agaricomycetes; Cantharellales; Ceratobasidiaceae
Description: eukaryotic LSU rRNA
Rfam family: Eukaryotic large subunit ribosomal RNA
Source: RNAcentral
GCAUAUCAAUAAGCGGAGGAAAAGAAACUAACAAGGAUUCCCCUAGUAACGGCGAGUGAAGCGGGAAGAGCUCAAAUUUAAAAUCUGGCAGUGUAUUCUGUCCGAGUUGUAGUCUAGAGAAGCAUCAUCCGUGCUGGACCAUGUACAAGUCUCUUGGAACAGAGCGUCAUAGAGGGUGAGAAUCCCGUCCUUGACAUGGACUCCCAGUACUUUGUGUUGUGCUCUCAACGAGUCGAGUUGUUUGGGAAUGCAGCUCAAAAUGGGUGGUAAAUUCCAUCUAAAGCUAAAUAUUGGCGAGAGACCGAUAGCGAACAAGUACCAUGAGGGAAAGAUGAAAAGCACUUUGGAGGGAGAGUUAAACAGUACGUGAAAUUGUUGAAAUGGAAACGCUUGAAGUCAGUCGCGUUCUCUGGGAUUCAGCCUUGCUUCUGCUUGGUGCAUUUCCUAGUCUACGGGCCAGCAUGAAUUUUGACCAGUGGAAAAGGAUUUGGGGAAUGUGGCACCUUCGGGUGUGUUAUAGCCCUUUGUCACAUACGCUGGUUGGGAUUGAGGUCUUAGUGCACGCUUCGGUUGUGCUUUGAUGCUGGCGUAAUGGCUUUAAACGACCCGUCUUGAAACACGG